AUGAACGCUGGCGGCGUGCCUAAUACAUGCAGGUCGAGCGAACAGACGAGGAGCUUACUCCUCUGACGUUAGCGGCGGACGGGUGAGUAACACGUGGAUAACCUACCUAUAAGACUGGGAUAACUUCGGGAAACCGGAGCUAAUACCGGAUAAUAUAUUGAACCGCAUGGUUCAAUAGUGAAAGACGGUUUUGCUGUCACUUAUAGAUGGAUCCGCGCCGCAUUAGCUAGUUGGUAAGGUAACGGCUUACCAAGGCAACGAUGCGUAGCCGACCUGAGAGGGUGAUCGGCCACGCUGGAACUGAGACACGGUCCAGACUCCUACGGGAGGCAGCAGUAGAGAAUCUUCCGCAAUGGGCGAAAGCCUGACGGAGCAACGCCGCGUGAGUGAUGAAGGUCUUCGGAUCGUAAAACUCUGUUAUUAGGGAAGAACAAAUGUGUAAGUAACUAUGCACGUCUUGACGGUACCUAAUCAGAAAGCCACGGCGAACUACG
Molecule: ribosomal RNA, 494 nt
Filed under: uncultured bacterium
Lineage: Bacteria
Description: partial 16S ribosomal RNA
Rfam family: Bacterial small subunit ribosomal RNA
Source: RNAcentral